This 409-nucleotide ribosomal RNA is filed under the name uncultured bacterium. RNAcentral's name for it is "bacterial SSU rRNA". It matches the Rfam family "Bacterial small subunit ribosomal RNA", at positions 354 to 777 of the family's 1533-position model. The record is from RNAcentral.
GUGGGGAAUAUUGGGCAAUGGAGGCAACUCUGACCCAGCAACGCCGCGUGAGCGAUGAAGGUCUUCGGAUUGUAAAGCUCUUUAAGCGGGGACGAAGAAAGUGACUGUACCCGCAGAAUAAGCCUCGGCUAACUACGUGCCAGCAGCCGCGGUAAUACGUAGGAGGCAAGCGUUAUCCGGAAUGACUGGGCGUAAAGGGUGCGUAGGUGGUUUGGCAAGUUGGUAGCGUAAUCCCGGGGCUCAACCUCGGUGCUACUACCAAAACUGUUGAACUUGAGUGCAGGAGGGGUGAAUGGAAUUCCCAGUGUAGCGGUGGAAUGCGUAGAUAUUGGGAAGAACACCAGCGGCGAAGGCGAUUCACUGGACUGUAACUGACACUGAGGCACGAAAGCGUGGGGAGCAAACAGGA